This 497-nucleotide ribosomal RNA is filed under the name uncultured bacterium. Its description in RNAcentral is "partial 16S ribosomal RNA". It matches the Rfam family "Bacterial small subunit ribosomal RNA", at positions 28 to 507 of the family's 1533-position model. The record is from RNAcentral.
GAUGAACGCUGGCGGCGUGCCUAAUACAUGCCAGUCGAGCGAAAAGACGAGGAGCUUGCUCCUCUGACGUUAGCCGCGGACGGGUGAGAAACACGUGGAUCACCUCCCUAUAAGACUGGGAUCACUUCGGGAAACCGGAGCUAAUCCCGGAUAAUCUAUUGCACCGCAUGGUUCAAUAGUGAAAGACGGUUUUGCUGUCACUUAUAGAUGGAUCUCCGCCGCAUUAGCUAGUUGGUACGGUAACGGCUUACCAAGGCAACGAUGCGUAACCGACGUGAGAGGGUGAUCGGCCACACUGGAACGGAGACACGGACAAGACGCCUACGGGAGGCAGCAGUAGCGUAUCUGCCGCAAUGGGCGAAAGCCUGACAGAGCAACGCCGCGUGAGUGAUGACGGUCUUCGGAUCGUAAAACUCUGUUAUUAGGUAAGAACAAAUGUGUAAGUAGCUAUGCACUUCUUGACGGUACCUAAUCAGAAAGCCACGGCUAACUACGUG